This 2033-nucleotide unclassified non-coding RNA is filed under the name Daphnia magna. RNAcentral's name for it is "serine/arginine repetitive matrix protein 2, transcript variant X1". The record is from RNAcentral. Lineage: Eukaryota; Metazoa; Arthropoda; Branchiopoda; Diplostraca; Daphniidae.
GAAAAGGAAAAGGGAUAUGUUGGCCUGAAAUUAAGAGCUGGCUGAAUUGAAAGCCAAGAACUCGCGUGGAUUGAUCAGUUGAUGACCGCCAUCGAAAAUCUUGCUUUAUUAGUUCAAAUAAUCGCUAAAAGCUAUUCUAAGUGGUUUACAACUAUCACUGCUAGUGAAAUCAACAAAAUGUACAAUGGCAUUGGUCUAACAACAGCUCGGGGUUCUGGAACAAAUGGAUAUGUCAGUAGGAACCUGGCAUUUGUGCAUACAACAAAGGAUAAAGUCAAGUAUAAAACAGAAGAAGAGAUUCAAAGGUUGGAUUCCAUCUCACACAAAAAACCAAAUCUGGAGAUUUUGGAUCAUGAGCGGAAACGGAAAUUGGAGCUGAAGUGCCUUGAAUUAAGAGAAGAUUUAGAGGAACAAGGGAUAGACGAGGAUAUCAUUGAAUCGAAAUUAGCCGAGUUCCGCGCUUCACUGGUGCAGAAAGAUGCAGAAAACGGCAAAGAUACAACAACCUACGAAACAGAUGAAUAUGGCCGGAUAGUUGUCCGGGAAACUCAUCAGAUAGCUGCUGCACAAGAAGAAAAGAACCGUAGUCUUCGCCAAGCGUUUGGUAUUAGCGAAUACUUCAUCGAAGGUAGUAGUUUGGAUCCCAAUCGCAAAAUUCGCGAAACUGCUGCUAAACAAGCAGCUGAACAAAAAACCUAUACGAUCGUUCGAACGCCGAGUCCGGAGCCUCAGGAAGAAUCCCAGGUUCCCGAAGUUGUUUCUGUUGCUCCACCUAAGUCCAAAAAGAGCAAGAAAUCGAAGAGCAAAAAAAGUAAGAAGAAUAAGAAGAAAGUGGAUACAGAAUCAGAUGAUGAAGAAGAUCAAGAAGAACCUAAAGAGAAAACCAAAUCGCGAAAAUCUCUUGAUUCUUCUGAUACCAGAAAAUCCGAUUCCAAAUACAACGAUCGCCCUGUAAGUCGUACGGAAUCUUCUAAGCCAUCACGCCACCGUCAUGAUACUCCAAGUCCUCCUCGUCGGCGCGCAGGGGAAGAAUCACAAAAUCGCAAGCGUCGUGCAAGUUCAGAAAGAGAAGAAGAGAAUCCAAGCCGAGGUAGACGGGAUGAAGUUGAAAGAAAGAAAACGAGAGAAGAUUCCCAGCUUAAUGCCGACAAAAAAGAUAGUUCCAAUAAUAGGAGGGAAAGUCGUUAUGCCCGUUCUUCCUACAGAUCUCCGGAAAGAAGCAACCGAAAUGACUCACGAAGUGAUCGAGACCGCCGCGAUAAUUACCAUCACUCCACACGUCGCGAAGAUAACAAUCGACCCGAUGUGUCUAAAAGCGGACACAGAGAAGUCGAAAGAAAACAAGACGAGAAAGAGAAUCGUGAAGUUCAAGGACACACACAGUCUAAGCAAUACGUUACAGAAGAUCGCGGUCGUCGUGAAUCUGAAAGGCCUUCCGACUUGGUAGCGAACAAGACAGUCGAUGAGCCGGUGCAGUUGACUGAGAAAGUUUCAAAUUCAAAAGCGGAAUCAGAACCACCCAUUGUGGAACAAAAAAAGAAAGAGAUGACCACCAGUCAACAAACGGAAAAAAUGAAAGCUGAUUUAGCCAAACUAGGAUCAUUCAUAGACCAAAUUGGGCGAUCGAAGAAGAAAAAGUCUCGACACGAUUCAAGUCGAUCGUCAUCUUCUUCCAGUUCGUCGUCAAGCUCUGAUUCGUCCGAUUCGGAUGAUACUUCUUCUUCUGACUCGGAUUCUUCUUCUUCGUCCUCGUCGUCAUCAUCAUCCUCUUAUUCGUCCUCAUCGUCGUCAACACCGUCAAAAACUUCUGCUCCUCGUUCCAAAGAUAAACGUUCACCAUCUCCUCCUCGUCGAUCAGGGUCGCCUAGCUGGAAGGACCGUAGGCGUAUCACCAGCGACUUUUAAUGGGAUGUGUCUCCUUAGAAUGGCAAGUGCCAGGAAAAAACCAGUUCCAUAUCAAAGGUGCGCACCUGCCUGGAGUACGUCUAGCUCAACAGAAAGCAUAGACUCUUCCUGGAGAAGCAAUUCUAGUU